AGGUUGAGAUGAUGUCACAAUGGAAAAUGGGCCAAAGGAGUAUAUGCCAAUACUACUCAAAGUGUGGUCUGGGGUACACUGCUCAUUCAUGAAUUGUUUCUUGAUGGUCCACAAUGACGUAAAGCACGUUCUCUCCAAGAUCGUCAGAUUCCCUUUGGCCUUCAGAGAGCUGGAUUCCUGGGUAUUGGAAAAAGCCCACAGCCACGUUCAUUUCCAGUAGUCUUGAUUUGUGAACUCUUCUCUAAAAUCCACAAAAACUCCUAAGCUCUGGGGCAAAAGGAACUGUGUCUGGCUAUAAAGGAUCUGAGUUUCAGAGAGAUUAAGUGAAUUGCCCAAGCAAUUCAAUGAAACCAACCAUUCAGAUUUUCAACCAAAUUAUAUCAGACUCAACCUCUUGCUGUUUAUACCAAACCUACUAGAACUCCUUGCUCCUCAUGGAAAGAGGAAAUAGUGCCAGUCUUGGACUCAAAAGAAAAGGAGCACUAGUACAAUUAUGAGUGCCUAUGAUUCACAAGAACAGCUCUUUUAUGUUGGCUGUAAUAAUGCCAUUCUGGGUAAUGGACCAGACAGAAAGGAAGAAAACGCAGGACCAGAAGAGCCACAAACAACAUUUCAGGAUCAGCGUAACGGUUGCCAGAACAUGAAAAAUCGCAGAGCUUCCAGGCCCUGAGCCAACCUUAUUCAGGACUCAGGGGGGAAAAAACCAGUCUGGGUAAAUUCUCAGUGUAAACUCCUAGGGGAGCACAUCGCUAUGUCAGCCUAAAGAGAGGAUGAACCCCUGCACCUCUGUCUCGGCUUACUGUUAUUCCACCCCCAGAAAAAU
RNAcentral lists this long non-coding RNA (823 nucleotides) under Equus asinus (donkey). Its description in RNAcentral is "lncRNA (ENSEASG00005033164.1)". Lineage: Eukaryota; Metazoa; Chordata; Mammalia; Perissodactyla; Equidae. The record is from RNAcentral.